AGCUUUGCACAGUGGCAGUAUUGUAGCCAAUGAGGUUUAUCUGAGGCACGAUUAUUGCUAAUUGAUUCCUUUAGUUUUUAAGACUGUUCAGUACACUGCUUCCUCCCCUACUGCAAACAGUUUGAAAGAAAGUGAAUUA
Molecule: small nuclear RNA, 139 nt
Filed under: Vulpes vulpes (red fox)
Lineage: Eukaryota; Metazoa; Chordata; Mammalia; Carnivora; Canidae
Description: U4 spliceosomal RNA (ENSVVUG00000018263.1)
Rfam family: U4 spliceosomal RNA (bases 1-66)
Source: RNAcentral